UUUUUUUUUUUUUUUGGAUAACUGUAGGGCACUCAAUUUUAGUGACCCAGAAACUUCAUCCUAAUUUUAUCUCAAGGGAAGGUUAAAAAAAAAAUGUCCAUUUUAAAAAAUUACAAUCCAGAAUUUGAAACUAGCUUAUCUUGUUGAAUCUUAGAUAAACUAAACUUUACCAGGUACCCUCUUCUGUUUUGGCUGAUGAGUUUAGAGAAUUCAUAUUUUGGAAAUGUGUAUCAUUGAUAUACUCAUAAAUUUAAAAAGUGAAGAAAAAGUGUUACAAUGUAAAUGAAGACUUGUUUUUUGGGAUGUUGGAAGCCUUUGGUGGUUUUCUUAUUUGUUACAAUGUAAAUGAAGACUUGUUUUUUGGGAUGUUGGAAGCCUUUGGUGGUUUUCUUAUUUGUUGCAAUGGCUGUGAAUGUGGAGACCUCUAGCCACCUUGUGUUCUCGGAGGACAAUUAAGCAUAACAGUGUAAAUAAUAUGUGCACAUGCAGACUCUCAUUCCCAAAUUGUUAGAAAAAACUGAAAAUAAGGCUUGGCUGGCAAAUUUAAAAUCUAGGAAAGGAUAUUACUUGAGCAUGGUGGGGAAGUUUUAAUCGCAGAAUGCCAAUCAAAAGAAGGUACUCUGUAAUAAUUUUUUUUUUAUGCUUAAAGUGAUUAUUCGAAAAUUUUUCUGAUGGUUGACUUUUAGAAUUAGUCUUGAAUUAUAAUUUACUGUGGAAAAAUUUCCUAGAUUAGUCAUGUAAGGAAAUAUAACAAUUUGAUCAUUUGGAAGUUCAGUUUCUCAUCGGCUUUACUUGUGCAAAAAUCAAAGGUAGUCUUGAGGAUCUUAUUUGUUGGUGUCAUGGUGUGCAAUUGUAAAUGAGAGCAAAUCAUGUAAUAUAGAUGAGUAUAGUAUUAGGCGGAGUAACAGCAAAACAAUAAUAAUUGGCAAUGAAUUUAAAAUGUAAGAUUAUUGAUAUUUGAAUUUACGUCCAAAAAGUAAGAUAGCGCGACGGAAAAUUCAGGGAUUUAAAGAUUUUCUCUGUUUGUUUUAGUAGAAAUAUGUGCAUGAUAACUAAGAGAUAUGCAAAAAUAAUUUCGUAGAGUGUAGAUGUAAAAUGCACUAUUGUGAAUUUGUACAGGAUGUUUGGUUUAAAAAAAGUGAGAGGGUUUUUUAUAGAAAAGUAGAGCACUGUGCAAUGUGUCCCUGGAGCCAUCUCCUUGGUGGCACCUGAGGGAAUUGGGCACCAUAAAUGGCUCAGGAGUGUUAUGGCUUGAGUAUAUGGCUUUUGUGUCCUCAUUCAGGCAAUCCAAAAAUAUUUGCACUAUGAGAUAGUAUUGGAAAGUUCUUGUCUCUUCAAUUGGAAAUUGUUUAGGGCUUUAGGCUCUAAAGAGCUGAAAGUGAAGUGAUAAAAAAAGAAGGAUUUCAGUGAUUCAUAGUCUGAUAGGAGCUAUCUAAAUUUAAUAGUAUAGAGUGUUGGUACACUUUCCAGAGUAUAAUAAGGAGUUUAUAAGGCUAAAAUUGACACAACCAAUGGUCUGGCAGAUGCAAUAUAAGUGCAAAAGUGAAGUGACAGAGUUCAUUUGAUAGGUUUCUUGGAGGAGCAAGAGGGUAUUCCAUUCAUAGUCUGAUGGGAACCAAGACCGUAUAAGAUGUGUUCACGGCCUGUUAAGGACCAUAGCAAUUAAUGAUUUGAAUGGGUUACAAUCCUCAAUCCAAUAGGGAUCCUGAAAACAAAAGUGUUGGAUGUGAUCCAUAGUUUGUUAAGGAUUGUGAAAAUUCAAAGAAAUGAAAAUAUCAUCACCUGAAGUUUAGGAUUGAAUCAAACUGGAAGAAAUAAAGUUUAUCCUGUUCCUACAAGGAGCUUGCCUUUCAGAAGUAGAAGAAAGGCCCAUUGAGCUGGUUUUGAUACCAAGUGCUGUGAAAGAUGCAAAACUGUUGAAUUAUGCUAAAAAAAUGGCUCUGCCAAAAUUUAAUGUUGACAAUUAUUCUUGUUCAUUAUCUUGUCAUUAAUUGCCAACAUUACUAAAAGGGUCUAUUAAAGCUAGACCUCUGCUAGAUUGUGUUAAUUUUUUAUCAAAAAAAUGAAAAAACUUUUGCCUUAUCUUUUUCAGUAUUUUAAAAGUAAAAUUAUUCCUUUGACAAACAUUAGCACAGUCUUUACUCCUUAGCACAUGCUAGUACUAAUGAGGGAAAAAAAGAAAAAAAUUAACUUAGGAUUCGCAGAUGGUUAUUAAAAAGUUAUGAAAAUACAUUUCAUGAUCUACAAGGGUAUUUGCAAGUUCACAAUGAUAUCAAGAUAAAAAUUGAAACUCUUGCAUUGAACAGGUGGGCCUAAGUGUCAUUUGGAAUUUCUGUUUGUGUGUGCUCGCAUGCAUAUUCUCAGCUCGCAUGCAAAGUAGUAAGAAGGGUCAAUGCAUGCCUCAGUUUUUGUUGCUGGAACUUAUUUUGUCAAUGCAUGUCUUGUUAAUCGACUUGCCUAUAAUAUGGACCGAAUUGCAGGGGAGAUGCUUAUCCAAUGGAUAAGGCACUUGGGCAGAACUGAAUUAUGGGUGCAUGAACUGUAAUCAUGUCUAUAGGCAAUUAGGCAUAAGUCUUACUUAAAAGCAACUUUUACAUGCAGUAAUCACGUCUAUAGGCAUAAGUCGUACUCAAAAUUAACUUUUACCAAGAGAUGAGAUGAAUGAAAUGAAGCAUAUUCAAUAUUUUCUUCGUGAUAUUGGUCAAUGCUGCUCAGUUCUACAUUGUGCUGUUACUGAUUCUACUUAUUAAGGAUACAUAUUUAAAAUAACGGCCGUUAUAUAAUGUAACGGUCGUUAUUUACAAGUUUUUGAAGGCUCUAUUAUGCAUUAUCCCUUUAUUUAUAGGCAAAUCCUAAGUUGUAUGUGUAAUGGCCAUUACCAUUGUUACAUAAUGGUAACUGCCGUUGCUUCAAUUAUGCAUCUGCCACGAAUCACACGCAAACAUUAUUUUUUCUUCUCUUUUCAUUGAUGUCUAAAAAUGAUAGGUUUAAUGUCUUUAUUUGAUGUAUUGUGCUUAUUAUAUAGUUUUGUAUAUUAGUUUUACUUAUAUUUACCAAUAUCUAGUUAUUCUAUGAACUUCGAAAAUUUUUCGAAAAAAAAUUUGCGUAGGCAGUUGCCAUACGUUAUGGAGUUACAAGCCUGUUUCCGUUAUCCAUGAUCGAGACCGCGAUUUGAAACCAUGCACGAUACAACUGUCUGGAUUGAUUUUGCAUGUAAAUAGUUUUAUAUCGUUCCCUUACAUAUGAUCUUGUUAUAUGAAGCCCUGAAAUUCUGGUUUUUUGGUAUGAUUAUGCAGGAUUUGUGCGAUCCUGGGAACCGUUCAGA
This 3325-nucleotide unclassified non-coding RNA is filed under the name Hevea brasiliensis (rubber tree). Lineage: Eukaryota; Viridiplantae; Streptophyta; Magnoliopsida; Malpighiales; Euphorbiaceae. The record is from RNAcentral.